Molecule: long non-coding RNA, 1870 nt
Filed under: Struthio camelus australis
Lineage: Eukaryota; Metazoa; Chordata; Aves; Struthioniformes; Struthionidae
Description: lncRNA (ENSSCUG00000014263.1)
Source: RNAcentral
GGCAGGACGGUGACUGAAGGGCAGGGGGUGUUUCUCCUUGCUCUGAGGUGCGUCCCAAGGACGCUGCUUCCCUCCCUCCUUCCUUCCCGGUUGCUCUCCCGAGGGAGAGCUUUCCCCUGCAGCAGGGUUCGCUGUGGAGGUGCCUGUUCCUGGCUGGCCGUUGGCGUGCUGGAAGCCCUUUGGCUUUGUGGAGGGGGGCCGUCCUGAGACGGGCAGGUGGGCAGCGGGGAGAUGACUCUGAAGGGGCUGAUGCAGCUCUGUUGUUUUAACUGAAUCUCUUAGGUGGAAAAGAGCCUGGAUGUGGCCCUCGGCUAUGGGCUGUGGAGAAACAUGGAGGAGGCUGGCGCGGGUCCCUCAUCGGGACACGUGCGUCCCCCCGCUGGGACACUGCGCUCUGCAACCCUUGCUGCUGCCACAGGGCACCCGUGCUGCGGGGCAGGUGGAGUCCUGCAGCGGACGUGGAAACGGUUUUCCUUGAGGGAAUGCCUUUUUCUAUGCCAGACAAAUGGCAACGACAGAUGGGACAUAACAGUGUUGGAGGCAUGCAAUGUUGGCAGAAACCAAAAUUACGAAAAUCCACUUUCCAACAACUUGGAGCACAUGGAGUACCACCAACAGGUGUGUCCCAAGGCAAUGAGAGUCUUUGUUGCUGCUCAUCUGAUUAAACUGACCACCAAGACAAUUCUAGUGGAAGAGGUCAUCAAAAAGCUUCUUGCCACCUGGACGGAUUACAGACUAGAAGAUAACUUGGACUUCUGCUUUAUGACAGUGUCUGUAGUGAUUUUGAAUGCGUUGGGCAAAGCAGAAAAAACAGCUAGUCUGCAGACUGUAAGUGAAUUACUUCUUACUAACUCAGUCCAUGAAUGCUAAGUGCUGCUCCCUCCUUCCCCCCACCCCUCAAAAAAAUUGAGGAAGGCCUUUACUUAAUUAUUUUUGAGAUAAACACAUAAUUUUAGGAAAUGUGACACUAUUGUGUAGUCUUUUUAUAGUAGAGAUUGUUUUUCCACAAUAUGUACAUUCUGCACAUAGGUAGCAGUACUGUAAUACACUUUACCAAGUGCACCAGAUGGGCCUGUAGAAAUGGUGUGAAUGAAACUAAAGGAGGCCUAUACUCCAAAAUUAAUUCAUUCAGACAAUCAAGGAGGUACAGAAACACCAUUAUCACAGGAUGAAUGUUUUUCACAAAAUAAUCUGUUCUGACGUUCUGAUUUUCAAAGCAUAUUUGCAAAAUAACCCGAAAAGAAAACCUACAAAUGAAAAUCCCUAGUUCUAUGAGAUGCUAAAGAGGCUGGACUCAACAGAGAGGUUACUUUAUGACAUAUGGUAAUUUUCAUCCCUCUCCUGUUAACUUUUCACUUGUGUCUAACCAUCUUGUUUCUGUUUCUCUCAGUCUCCAUCCCACAGAAGCUAAUGGCCUCAGCACGGCUUCCCCUGCUGAAACUGCUUGCUGCUCCACAGGUGCUGGUUGUCCUAUUCCCUCAUACUGUCUAGUUGAUCAAUGUAAUAACUUCAUCCCAGAGCAUUUCUUCCCAAUGUGGUUUUACUGCAGUUUGCAACCUCUGUUUCAGACCUAAAGAAUGGCUUAUUUGCUUGUCUGUUUUUCCCUCAACUAUAAUAGUUGGUCUCAUAAAAGAUAUUACCUCUUCCCCAUAAGCCUUGGCUCUCUAACUUGCAUACACCUUCCUAGGGGGAAGAAAGCAAUCUCCUCAAGCCUGGAAUUUCCUGUAGGAGCAAACUGUAGUCAUUUGAAUUAUAGAUUUAAUUGAUAAGCUAUCUCACUAAUGCAAUCCCACUGAGUGCAAAUAUGCAUUGGACUUGCUGAGGGAACUAGAAGAAUUUCCAAAAUUUUCCAGUCAGAUGCCAGCUUUAA